CAUUAUCUCCUUAUUUACACAGAAACUGUAGUGUGAGGAAAAAAGUACACCCAUUUAUGAAUGUCACAUGACCAAAAAACAUGAUCUGAUGACAUCUGUAACGCCAUCUCCAAUUAUCUACUCUCCAGUCUCUUCACCUCCUCAAGUACGUCUUCAAAUGUGUGUACGUCUGAGAGUGUUUCACCUUGUGUUGCAGCAGUCAUUGAUCGGGCUGGAGCUGUCAAUCGAUCAGUCUGGUCUGCGUGUGGAGAUAAAGGUGUUUUCAUCUCUGGACACUGCAGUUGCCAGAGGUACUCUGGAGAGACACCCCCCACCCCCACCCCACUACCACCACCACCACCACGCUGACAGCAAGAAGAAACACAAAGUUUCCAUCUGAACGUCUCCCUUUACAGCCACCUAAAUCUCUGGACACAACACGUCUCCUUUCAUCAAAGAGAGAAAUUGGACUGGUUUGAAUUGGCUGCAUGUUUAUGCUAAAUGGGAGAGGAAAAAAAAAAAUCUGAGUGAUUCCCUCACUGACAGCUCAAGAUGAGAACAAGAGAGACGGAAGACACAAUAAACAGGUGCAACAUCAGAUAUGAAGAAGCAAAAAACAGGAAACGAAAAACAAAGAACAUCCAACCCUUGUGUAAGCUGGUGCAAGAGUGAAAAAUCAGAUGGAAACUUGGGAGGGAAUGACAAAACAGAUGCAGAUUAGUGAGGGGGGAUGAAAGAGUGCGAGCUGUCCCGCUGUGUUACAGGUGUACGUGCAGCACGGAGAUGGAGAAACGAAGAGAGAGGAAUAAUUAGUCCCCCCGUCCCCUGGCAGAGGAGCGCAGCAGGUGAAAGGACGAAUAAAAGGGGGGAAAAACAGGGGAGAGAUGGAGAGAUGGAAAGCGAGGAGUGUUGGAAGCAAGGACACGGUGACAUUGUAGGCAAAAAAGAAAGGUUCAAGAAUGACUAAAUGGAUGGCGGGCUCAGCGUGAGAGACGAAGAGAAGAAAGGAGAGGAGGGCAGCCUGGAGGACAGAGGUUUAAAAAUGAGGAGGAGGAGCAGAAAACAUCCUUUGUCAUCUCUUCUCAACAACAAGAGUGAAAAGGAAAGAUGCUUUUACCGGCACCUCUCGGCUAACAAUAGCACCAUGCCUCCUAAUCAGAGUGG
This is a long non-coding RNA of Thalassophryne amazonica, 1143 nucleotides long. RefSeq lists it as uncharacterized. The record is from RefSeq and is a predicted model, not a curated record. The transcript is spliced from 2 exons. Lineage: Eukaryota; Metazoa; Chordata; Actinopteri; Batrachoidiformes; Batrachoididae.